GACGUACGCUGGCGGCGUGCCUAAUACAUGCAAGUAGAACGCUGAAGAGAGGAGCUUGCUCUUCUUGGAUGAGUUGCGAACGGGUGAGUAACGCGUAGGUAACCUGCCUGGUAGCGGGGGAUAACUAUUGGAAACGAUAGCUAAUACCGCAUAAAAUUGAUUAUUGCAUGAUAAUUAAUUGAAAGAUGCAACUGCAUCACUACCAGAUGGACCUGCGUUGUAUUAGCUAGUUGGUGAGGUAACGGCUCACCAAGGCGACGAUACAUAGCCGACCUGAGAGGGUGAUCGGCCACACUGGGACUGAGACACGGCCCAGACUCCUACGGGAGGCAGCAGUAGGGAAUCUUCGGCAAUGGGGGGAACCCUGACCGAGCAACGCCGCGUGAGUGAAGAAGGUUUUCGGAUCGUAAAGCUCUGUUGUAAGAGAAGAACGGGUGUGAGAGUGGAAAGUUCACACUGUGACGGUAUCUUACCAGAAAGGGACGGCUAACUACGUG
RNAcentral lists this ribosomal RNA (497 nucleotides) under uncultured bacterium. RNAcentral's name for it is "partial 16S ribosomal RNA". It matches the Rfam family "Bacterial small subunit ribosomal RNA", at positions 28 to 507 of the family's 1533-position model. The record is from RNAcentral.